RNAcentral lists this unclassified non-coding RNA (503 nucleotides) under uncultured Glomus. Its description in RNAcentral is "SSU rRNA". It matches the Rfam family "Eukaryotic small subunit ribosomal RNA", at positions 569 to 1080 of the family's 1831-position model. The record is from RNAcentral. Lineage: Eukaryota; Fungi; Glomeromycota; Glomeromycetes; Glomerales; Glomeraceae.
AGCAGCCGCGGUAAUUCCAGCUCCAAUAGCGUAUAUUAAAGUUGUUGCAGUUAAAAGCUCGUAGUUGAAUUUCGGGAUCAAAGGAUCGGUCAUGCCUUGGUAUGUACUGGUUUUAUUGGUUCUCACCUUCUAAAGAACCAUAAUGUCAUUCAUUUGAUGUUAUGGGGAAUUAGGACUGUUACCUUGAAAAAUUAGAGUGUUUAAAGCAGGCUUACGCUUGAAUACAUUAGCAUGGAAUAAUGAAAUAGGACGUCAGAUUCUAUUUUGUUGGUUUCUAGGAUCGAUGUAAUGAUUAAUAGGGAUAGUUGGGGGCAUUAGUAUUCAAUUGUCAGAGGUGAAAUUCUUGGAUUUAUUGAAGACUAACUACUGCGAAAGCAUUUGCCAAGGAUGUUUCAUUAAUCAAGAACGAAAGUUAGGGAUCGAAGACGAUCAGAUACCGUGUAGUCUUAACCAUAAACUAUGCCGACUAGGGAUCGGAUGAUGUUAAUUUAUAAUGACUCUAC